UUGUUUGUUAUGUUAUAAGUCGUUCAUUACACAUAGUUUGUAUGUCCGGCGGGCUGGGCCCACCGAUGAGUUCACAGGUGUGAGGAUUGGAUAAAGGUCUCUCGACCAAAUCACUAAUGAUCCUUCCGCAGGUUCACCUACGGAAA
This 146-nucleotide unclassified non-coding RNA is filed under the name uncultured fungus. Its description in RNAcentral is "sequence contains ITS1". The record is from RNAcentral. Lineage: Eukaryota; Fungi.